Molecule: ribosomal RNA, 418 nt
Filed under: Actinomycetes bacterium
Lineage: Bacteria; Bacillati; Actinomycetota; Actinomycetes
Description: bacterial SSU rRNA
Rfam family: Bacterial small subunit ribosomal RNA
Source: RNAcentral
UUCACGGAGAGUUUGAUCCUGGCUCAGGACGAACGCUGGCGGCGCGCUUAACACAUGCAAGUCGAGCGAGAACCAGGCCUUCGGGCCUGGGGACAGCGGCGAACGGGUGAGUAACACGUGGGUAAUCUGCCCUCGAUUCUGGGAUAGCCCGGGGAAACCCGGAUUAAUACCGGAUAGCCUCUCGAGCUUUCGGGCUCGAAAGAAAAGGUAGCUUCGGCCUCCGAUCGAGGAUGAGCCCGCGGCGGAUUAGCUUGUUGGUGGGGUAAUGGCCCACCAAGGCGACGAUCCGUAGCUGGUCUGAGAGGACGAUCAGCCACACUGGGACUGAGACACGGCCCAGACUCCUACGGGAGGCAGCAGUGGGGAAUCUUGCGCAAUGGGCGAAAGCCUGACGCAGCGACGCCGCGUGAGGGAAGAA